Molecule: ribosomal RNA, 240 nt
Filed under: uncultured Nocardia sp.
Lineage: Bacteria; Bacillati; Actinomycetota; Actinomycetes; Mycobacteriales; Nocardiaceae
Description: partial 16S ribosomal RNA
Rfam family: Bacterial small subunit ribosomal RNA
Source: RNAcentral
GACGAACGCUGGCGGCGUGCUUAACACAUGCAAGUCGAGCGGUAAGGCCCUUCGGGGUACACGAGCGGCGAACGGGUGAGUAACACGUGGGUGAUCUGCCUCGCACUCUGGGAUAAGCCUGGGAAACUGGGUCUAAUACCGGAUAUGACCACUGAUCGCAUGGUUGGUGGUGGAAAGAUUUAUCGGUGCGAGAUGGGCCCGCGGCCUAUCAGCUUGUUGGUGGGGUAAUGGCCUACCAAG